RNAcentral lists this ribosomal RNA (435 nucleotides) under uncultured bacterium. Its description in RNAcentral is "bacterial SSU rRNA". It matches the Rfam family "Bacterial small subunit ribosomal RNA", at positions 958 to 1392 of the family's 1533-position model. The record is from RNAcentral.
AACGCGAAGAACCUUACCAAGCCUUGACAUCCGGCUGGCCGGUGAGUAAUGUCACCUUUCCUACGGGACAGCCAGGACAGGUGGUGCAUGGUUGUCGUCAGCUCGUGUCGUGAGAUGUUGGGUUAAGUCCCGCAACGAGCGCAACCCUUAUCCCCAGUAGCCAGCACGUAACGGUGGGCACUCUGUGGAGACUGCCAGGGACGACCUGGAGGAAGGCGGGGAUGACGUCAAAUCAUCAUGCCCCUUAUGGCUUGGGCUACACACGUGCUACAAUGGCGUAAACAAAGGGAGGCGAAGGGGUGACCUGGAGCAAAUCCCAAAAAUAACGUCCCAGUUCGGAUUGUAGUCUGCAACCCGACUACAUGAAGCCGGAAUCGCUAGUAAUCGCGGAUCAGCAUGUCGCGGUGAAUACGUUCCCGGGUCUUGUACACACCG